AAAUGCGAUACUYGGUGUGAAUGCAGAAUCCCGUGAACCAUCGAGUCUUGGGAACGCAAGUUGCGCCCGAAGCCAUUAGGCCGAGGGCACGCCUGCCUGGUCGUCACAC
RNAcentral lists this ribosomal RNA (109 nucleotides) under Dasiphora fruticosa. Its description in RNAcentral is "partial 5.8S ribosomal RNA". It matches the Rfam family "5.8S ribosomal RNA", at positions 51 to 154 of the family's 154-position model. From Rfam's summary of the family: 5.8S ribosomal RNA (5.8S rRNA) is a component of the large subunit of the eukaryotic ribosome. It is transcribed by RNA polymerase I as part of the 45S precursor that also contains 18S and 28S rRNA. Functionally, it is thought that 5.8S rRNA may be involved in ribosome translocation. The record is from RNAcentral. Lineage: Eukaryota; Viridiplantae; Streptophyta; Magnoliopsida; Rosales; Rosaceae.